RNAcentral lists this non-coding RNA (21 nucleotides) under Arabidopsis thaliana (thale cress). Lineage: Eukaryota; Viridiplantae; Streptophyta; Magnoliopsida; Brassicales; Brassicaceae. The record is from RNAcentral.
GAAGAAUGAUGUCCUCUAUGC